CCAGCCAUGCCGCGUGUGUGAAGAAGGCCUUUUGGUUGUAAAGCACUUUAAGCGAGGAGGAGGCUACCGAGAUUAAUACUCUUGGAUAGUGGACGUUACUCGCAGAAUAAGCACCGGCUAACUCUGUGCCAGCAGCCGCGGUAAUACAGAGGGUGCGAGCGUUAAUCGGAUUUACUGGGCGUAAAGCGUGCGUAGGCGGCUUUUUAAGUCGGAUGUGAAAUCCCUGAGCUUAACUUAGGAAUUGCAUUCGAUACUGGGAAGCUAGAGUAUGGGAGAGGAUGGUAGAAUUCCAGGUGUAGCGGUGAAAUGCGUAGAGAUCUGGAGGAAUACCGAUGGCGAAGGCAGCCAUCUGGCCUAAUACUGACGCUGAGGUACGAAAGCAUGGGGAGCAAACAGGAUUAGAUACCCUGGUAGUCCAUGCCGUAAACGAUGUCUACUAGCCGUUGGGGCCUUUGAGGCUUUAGUGGCGCAGCUAACGCGAUAAGUAGACCGCCUGGGGAGUACGGUCGCAAGACUAAAACUCAAAUGAAUUGACGGGGGCCCGCACAAGCGGUGGAGCAUGUGGUUUAAUUCGAUGCAACGCGAAGAACCUUACCUGGUCUUGACAUAGUAAGAACUUCCAGAG
RNAcentral lists this ribosomal RNA (625 nucleotides) under Acinetobacter sp. Its description in RNAcentral is "bacterial SSU rRNA". It matches the Rfam family "Bacterial small subunit ribosomal RNA", at positions 388 to 1005 of the family's 1533-position model. The record is from RNAcentral. Lineage: Bacteria; Pseudomonadati; Pseudomonadota; Gammaproteobacteria; Moraxellales; Moraxellaceae.